This 513-nucleotide ribosomal RNA is filed under the name Providencia rettgeri. RNAcentral's name for it is "partial 23S ribosomal RNA". Lineage: Bacteria; Pseudomonadati; Pseudomonadota; Gammaproteobacteria; Enterobacterales; Morganellaceae. The record is from RNAcentral.
AUCCGGUGGUUCUGAAUGGWAGGGCCAUCGCUCAACGGAUAAAAGGUACUCCGGGGAUAACAGGCUGAUACCGCCCAAGAGUUCAUAUCGACGGCGGUGUUUGGCACCUCGAUGUCGGCUCAUCACAUCCUGGGGCUGAAGUAGGUCCCAAGGGUACGGCUGUUCGCCGUUUAAAGUGGUACGCGAGCUGGGUUUAGAACGUCGUGAGACAGUUCGGUCCCUAUCUGCCGUGGGCGUUGGAAGAUUGAAAGGGGCUGCUCCUAGUACGAGAGGACCGGAGUGGACGCACCACUGGUGUUCGGGUUGUCAUGCCAAUGGCAUUGCCCGGUAGCUAAGUGCGGAAGAGAUAACCGCUGAAAGCAUCUAAGCGGGAAACUUGCCUUGAGAUGAGUCUUCCCUGACYCUUUAAGRGUCCUAAAGGAACGUUUAAGACUAAGACGUUGAUAGGUUGGGUGUGUAAGCGUAGCGAUACGUUGAGCUAACCAAUACUAAUGAACCGUGAGGCUUAACCUG